This 1826-nucleotide ribosomal RNA is filed under the name Allobacciger polynesiensis. RNAcentral describes it as "SSU rRNA". It matches the Rfam family "Eukaryotic small subunit ribosomal RNA". The record is from RNAcentral. Lineage: Eukaryota; Metazoa; Platyhelminthes; Trematoda; Plagiorchiida; Monorchiidae.
GAAUGGCUCAUUAAAUCAGCUAUGGUUCCUUAGAUCGUACCUACUACAUGGAUAACUGUAGUAAUUCUAGAGCUAAUACAUGCCACUAUGCCCUGACCCGCAAGGGGACGGGUGGAUUUAUUAGAACAGAACCAACCGGUUGUGGCUCCGGUCGCAACCGUGGUACUGUGAUGACUCUGGAUAACUUCACCGAUCGCAGUCGGCCUUGUGUCGGCGACGGAUCUUUCAAAUGUCUGCCCUAUCAAUUUUCGAUGGUAGAUUAUCUGCCUACCAUGGUGAUAACGGGUAACGGGGAAUCAGGGUUCGAUUCCGGAGAGGGAGCCUGAGAAACGGCUACCACUUCCAAGGAAGGCAGCAGGCGCGUAACUUACCCAAUCCCAGAACAGGGAGGUAGUGACGAAAAAUAUGAAUGCGGGACUCUUUAGAGGCUCCGUAAUUCAAAUGAGUACAAUUUAAAUCCUUUAACGAGGAUCAACUGGAGGGCAAGUCUGGUGCCAGCAGCCGCGGUAAUUCCAGCUCCAGAAGCGUAUAUUAAAGUUGUUGCAGUUAAAAAGCUCGUAGUUGGAUCUGGGUCGCAUGGCUACAUGCUGAUAUUUGUACGCCGGAUUUCGGUCUGGUGUGCUUGUCGGCGUCGUGGUUGUGCAGCCUUUCUGCCGUGUCUGUUUCGACAGGUGCUGAUUGAAUUCGUUCGUCGGCAUGCUCCUUGAUGUCUUUAACCGGGUGUCGGGAGCGGACGGCAAGUUUACUUUGAACAAAUUUGAGUGCUCAAAGCGGGCCAUUGUGCCUGAAAAUUCUUGCAUGGAAUAAUGGAAUAGGACUUCGGUUCUAUUUUGUUGGUUUUCGGAUCCGAAGUAAUGGUUAAGAGGGACAGACGGGGGCAUUUGUAUGGCGGUGUUAGAGGUGAAAUUCUUGGAUCGCCGCCAGACAAACUACAGCGAAAGCAUUUGCCAAGGAUGUUUUCAUUGAUCUGGAGCGAAAGUCAGAGGUUCGAAGACGAUCAGAUACCGUCCUAGUUCUGACCAUAAACGAUGCCAACUGACGAUCCGUGGUGGGUUUUUAAUUGUCCCCACGGGCAGCCUCCGGGAAACCCUUAAGUCUUUGGGCUCCGGGGGAAGUAUGGUUGCAAAGCUGAAACUUAAAGGAAUUGACGGAAGGGCACCACCAGGAGUGGAGCCUGCGGCUUAAUUCGACUCAACACGGGAAAACUCACCCGGCCCGGACACUGUGAGGAUUGACAGAUUGAUAGCUCUUUCUUGAUUCAGUGGUUGGUGGUGCAUGGCCGUUCUUAGUUGGUGGAGCGAUUUGUCUGGUUAAUUCCGAUAACGAACGAGACUUUAUCCUGCUAAAUAGAGUGCCUGUCCCCUGUGCCUGUUUCGACGGCGGUGUUCAUUGCUCUUCGGGGUAGUGAGAUCGUCAAUCGGCUGGUGCUAUGCGGGUAUCCACUUCUUAGAGGAACAAGCGGCCGAAAGUCGCACGAAAAUGAGCAAUAACAGGUCUGUGAUGCCCUUAGAUGUCCGGGGCCGCACGUGCGCUACAAUGACGGUUCCAACUAGUGUGAGAUCCUGGCUUGAAAAGGCUGGGUAAACUGUAUCAUAACCGUCGUGACUGGGAUCGGGGCUUGCAAUUGUUCCCCGUAAACGAGGAAUUCCUGGUAAGUGCAAGUCAUUAACUUGCGCUGAUUACGUCCCUGCCCUUUGUACACACCGCCCGUCGCUACUACCGAUUGAAUGGUUUAGCAAGGUCAUUGGAUUGGUGCUAUUGUAGUUGCAACCGCGACUCGACCAGUGCCGAGAAGACGACCGAACUUGAUCAUUUAGAGGAAGUAA